GAUGAACGCUGGCGGCGUGCCUAAUACAUGCAAGUCGAGCGAACGGACGAGAAGCUUGCUUCUCUGAUGUUAGCGGCGGACGGGUGAGUAACACGUGGAUAACCUACCUAUAAGACUGGGAUAACUUCGGGAAACCGGAGCUAAUACCGGAUAAUAUUUUGAACCGCAUGGGUCAAAAGUGAAAGACGGUCUUGCUGUCACUUAUAGAUGGAUCCGGGCUGGAUUAGCUAGUUGGUAAGGUAACGGCUUACCAAGGCAACGAUGCAUAGCCGACGUGAGGGGGGGAUCGGCCACUCUGGAGGUGAGCGGCGACCCAGGCACCGACGGGAGGCACCAGUAGGGACGCUUCCGCGCUGGGCGAAAGCCUGACGGAGCAACGCAGCGUGGGUGAUGAAGGGCUGCGGGUCGUAAAACGCUGUUCUUAGGGAAGAACAUUUGUGUAAGUAACGGUGCACAUCUUGACGGUACCUAAUCAGAAAGCCACGGCUAACUACGU
RNAcentral lists this ribosomal RNA (496 nucleotides) under uncultured bacterium. RNAcentral describes it as "partial 16S ribosomal RNA". It matches the Rfam family "Bacterial small subunit ribosomal RNA", at positions 28 to 506 of the family's 1533-position model. The record is from RNAcentral.